GACAGGAAUUAGCAGGCUGGCCAGCAACACACGAAUGCGACUCAGGAAUUCACAAUAACAUUGGACUGUGUAUUUGUACUCUUGUGAAUAUGAGACAGAAUACAACCAGUGCUGAAAGUGCUCUUUAAUAGAGCAGUUAAUCUCUACACUCCCAGUUUUACCCUGACACAAGGCUAUUUUCGUUGUACAACACAUAUGGAGUAAACAGUGUCAGCUUCGAUGGCAAAACAAAGGUAGAGUGUUACAGGUACUCAAAAUCUCACUUGUACGUGUCAGUGACCUUGGAGUAUAGAGCAUUCUCAAACCUCAGAAGAUAUAAAAAUUGGAUGAUCAAGGCAAGAAGAAGUUCCAGCACGUGAGAAAGAAGCGACUGAUUUCAAUCAAAGAAAGCAUAGCUUUUCAGAAAGUGAAAAAGGAGAUUGAAGAAGAAAACCACUACAGGACAAACUAGAACAAGUUGGAAUUAAAUAUAUC
RNAcentral lists this long non-coding RNA (474 nucleotides) under Struthio camelus australis. RNAcentral describes it as "lncRNA (ENSSCUG00000018765.1)". The record is from RNAcentral. Lineage: Eukaryota; Metazoa; Chordata; Aves; Struthioniformes; Struthionidae.